RNAcentral lists this ribosomal RNA (441 nucleotides) under uncultured bacterium. RNAcentral describes it as "partial 16S ribosomal RNA". It matches the Rfam family "Bacterial small subunit ribosomal RNA", at positions 338 to 795 of the family's 1533-position model. The record is from RNAcentral.
CCUACGGGUGGCAGCAGUGGGGAAUAUUGCACAAUGGGGGAAACCCUGAUGCAGCAACGCCGCGUGGGUGAAGGAGCGUUUCGGCGCGUAAAGCCCUGUCAGCGGGGAAGAAGAAAGACGGUACCCGACCAAGAAGCCCCGGCUAACUACGUGCCAGCAGCCGCGGUAAUACGUAGGGGGCGAGCGUUAUCCGGAAUUACUGGGUGUAAAGGGAGCGUAGACGGCGAGGUAAGCCUGAAGUGGAAGCCCGCGGCCCAACCGCGGAACUGCUUUGGGAACUGUUUUGCUGGAGUAUGGGAGGGGUAAGCGGAAUUCCUGGUGUAGCGGUGAAAUGCGUAGAUAUCACGAAGAACUCCGAUUGCGAAGGCAGCCUACUAAACUGCCACUGACAUUGAUGCUCGAAAGUGUGGGUAUCAAACAGGAUUAGAUACCCUUGUAGUC